AUGCCAGAAAGCUUGAAGGUGCCCUGUGCAGGAGAGAAGCAGGCAGACAGGGAAAGACUGAAAGUGAAACCAACUCCUCCACCACCCCCACCUCCCAAAGAGAAACCAAUACCCACUAAACCACCCUGCCAGCCUUGCCCAGUCUCUGGAGGACCAUCAGUUUUCAUCUUCCCCCCAAACCCCAAGGACAACCUCAUGAUCUCCCGCACCCCUGAGGUCACGUGCCUGGUUGUGGACGUGAGCAAGGAGGAACCCGAGGUGACAUUCAACUGGUACGUGGACGGCGUGGAGGUGCACACAGCCAAGACAGGGCAGCGGCAGGAGCAAUUCAACAGCACCUACCGCGUGGUCAGCGUGCUGCCCAUCCUGCACCAGGACUGGCUGAAGGGGAAGGUCUUCAAGUGCAAGGUCAACAACAAAGCCCUCCCGUUUCCCAUCGAGAAGACCAUCUCCAAAGCCCCGGGGCAGGCCCGGGAGCCGCAGGUCUACACCUUUGGCCCACACCCAGAGGAGCUGUCCAAGCAAGUACUCAGCCUCUCCUGCCUGGUGAAGAGCUUCUAUCCCAACGAAAUUGAUGUCUCAUGGCAGAGCAAUGGGCAGCCGUUGCCUGAGAGCAGCUUUGUGUCCACCCCGGCCCAGGAGGAGAAGGACGGAACCUUCUUCCUCUACAGCAAGUUAACCAUAGACCACAGCAAGUGGCCAGGAAGCAAUGAGUAUUCCUGUGUCGUGAUGCAUGAGGCCCUGCACAACCACUACACACAGAAGACCGUCUCCCAGUCUCCCGGUAAAUGAGUGUGACCAGUGAGCACCCCUCUCCACCCCCUGUAAAUAUCUCCCAGGCACCCCAGCAUGGAAAUAAAGCACCCAGCACUGCCCUGGGAUUCUGCAAGA
Non-coding RNA from Choloepus didactylus (southern two-toed sloth), 891 nucleotides. The record is from the annotation of a RefSeq genome assembly. Lineage: Eukaryota; Metazoa; Chordata; Mammalia; Pilosa; Megalonychidae.